UAAAUAUAAAAGAGAAAAAUAAAUAAAAAUAGUAUGAAAUACUAUUUUAUUGGAUUUAAAGAAGUGAAAUAUCGGUUGGGAACGACCUGUGCUGAAAUCGGAGCGAAAACAGAAGAUUUAGAAUUUUCUGUUGGAAACGGGACUGAUAAAUUAGCAGAAAAUGCACAGUCUCAGAAAAUUAUGAAAAUUAGCGGGGAUGUCAGAAAUAUUUUUAUGAGGCUAGAUUUAAAGUUUCAUAUUUUUCUGACACCCGUAGAGUGAGAAAUAAAAUCCGAAAGCUAUCUGAUAAAGAUUGCAGUUCGGCACAGUUUUCGGUGACCAAACGGAGUCGAAACUGAAAACUUAAGAUAUAUUCUUGCUCAGUACGUUAAACUGAGCCUGCCUGUCAAAUUUGAGCGAAAACGGACAUCCGGAAGGGCUCCAACGAAAUUUAUCAGAUUUCAGGCUGCCCGUAGUGAAUAGUGUGUAGUUGAGGGGCAAAAUGGUAAAAUGGGAUUAAAUCCCUUUUGCUUCUUCUUCCUCCCAGCCGUAGCAGCCCAAACCGCACACACACACACGCGCAUGGAAGGGAAGAGAGAAGCCUCUCUUUCUCUCUCUAAAUCUCUCCCAAAAAGAAUGGAUUUGGUGGAGAUUGAAGCUUGGAGGUGGAUCGCCUUCGUCUUCUUCAUCUUCUCCAUGGUUUGGAGCUCAUUUUGAGGUGAGCUUCUUGAGCCCUUUAAUGGUAGAUCUUUAAUGCUUGGUUUAAAUACCUUAUAAAUGGAUUUAGAGGAGUCCUAGCAUGCUAUCUAGAUGAUUAAUGCUUGAAUCAUGGAUCAAUUUAGUGAUUUCUUGCAUAGUUGUAACCUAGGGCUCCAAAAUGCAAACUUUCAAAAUAUGAGGGUUUGAUCUCAUUUGACCCUUCGUAAACCUAAUUGCUAGGUAACGAAACGCGUUGGCGAAGACGGUUCGGCAAUCCGACGAGCCGUUACAAAGUUAUUAAAGAAAUAGACGUUUAGGCUUCGGGUCCGCCGGGAGGGCCGAGGCGACGUCGUAAAAUCAUGGAAAUGGAUUUGAGGCAUCGUGGCACAUAACCGAAGACCUAUAAUUUUCGGGGCUGCGAAGCGGAGCACGGUUGAGGCGCAGUUGCAGUAUCGGGCCGUGCCGGAUACGGGUGCCGCGGGAGGCCGAUUGCAAGUGUCGACAAGCAAUCGGAACGCGAAUUAAGGUGGGUUGUGUUUACCGAAGCGACUAGGUCGCCUUUAUGUCUAAGAAACUAAGAAUCCAUAUUGAUGCAUAUAAAUGUAAAUGAAGCAUGUAAAUGAUGCAUGUAACUAAAUAAUGCAUGUUGAUAGUAUGAUGUAAAUGCUAAAUAGAAUGCAUUAUGAGCAAGUUACAUAAUGCUAAAUAAUGUAAUGUAGAAAUGCUAGAAUGCAUUAUGAGCAAGUUACAUAAUGCUAAAUAAUGUAAUGUAGAAAUGCUAGAAUGCAUAAUGAGCAAGUUAUAUGAUGCAUGUUUAUAGUACGAUGUAAAUGCUAAGUAGAUGCAUAUAAAUGAUAUAUGAGAUUAUAAACGCAUGAUUAGCAUUAUGAGAUCAUAGAUGCAUGCUUAGCAUUGUGAGAUUAUAUAUGCAUAUGAACUUGGCUGAUAACUCUAGCUUGAAUAGAGAGAUAACAUUGAAAAAUGAGAAUUGAUGACUCUAGAAUGAGUAGAAUGCUUAAUUGGACAAUUAGUAUGUGAAUUAGAUCGAGUGGCAUCUAACUUAGUGUUAAGGAACAUAGGUCGUGAGUAGACCUAUAAUCAAAUAGAUCGAGUGGCAUCUAACCUAGUGUUAUUAAACAUAGGUCGUGAAAUGAAAAGUACUUAACCUAGAGUCAAGUGAACCAAGGUUAGAAAGAAUAAUGAUCCUAGUGUAAUAAACCUAGGUUAAGAAUGUGAAAGCAAUAAAUCUAAUGGGUGAACUUAGGUUGAGUAAAGGCUUAGACCUAGAGAGGUCAGUUCCAUAGGGUUAAGACCAACCCCUAUGUGAUCUGAAAUGGAUUCCGGAAUCCCAAGGCUAAAAGGAUACACCCAAAGUGGUGUCGGGUGUGUGCGAUGAUUGCGCCGCCCAAGGGCUAAAGAACCUUUGUCGUGGCGUGUGCGACGAUUUCGCCGCCGGAUGGUUAGCCAGUUUGUGGAUCCUACCGCCUGUUGACUGAACCACUGUCGUGGUGUUUGUGCGACGAUUUCGCCGCCGGGUGGCUAAGUCAUGGACCUAGGCCGUUGUUGGGUGAGGUGCGAUUCGUCCGCCGCCAGACGGCUAGGACAGGAGUACGGUGAGCUGUUGCCAGCUGAGGUGCAUGUGAGAGUUCCUUCACCUCGAGCUAGACAGUGCGCGGACUAUCCGCGAUUGAUUGACUCAAGACCGAGUCGGGUGGCAUAGAGAACUAAGGUAAGAGAAACCUUAGGAAAGAAUGGCCAGUAGAAAAGUGCGACAAAGUGUAAAGAAUAAAGAAUAAGUAAAGAAUAAAGUUCGGCUAAGGAAUAAGAAUAGCUGAUUAGUAAAGAAAGGUUACAAGUAAAGAAUAGCUAAGAGCUAAAAGUAAUUAAAUGACAAGAGUAAAGAAUGAUUAAGAAUAUAAGUAGCGUUAAAGUAACCUACUUGCAUGAUUACAGGUAUUGCAUAUUGCAUUUCGUGAGGCAUGACAUGUAUUUCAAUUGAAUAUAUAUAUCUGUUGUAUAUUGUUGAACUAACAUGUUGCAGUGCCUCGUUAGACCUGUUGGUUGAGCUGGUUCUCUUGGGUGGCUAAACCCACUGAGGACUAUGGACAAUAGUCUCACCCCCGUGUUGCUGUUUUGGGGGUACAGGUACACACGUGUGCGGCGCGGCGGCGCAAGGCGAGGGCGUAGUUCUGCAGAUAGCGCCCUACCCCAGAGACCAGAGCUAGCAGUACCCCAUCUAUAUAGCUUAGGGGUAAAGGAAAUGAAAAGAAUACAAUGUAUCAAACUUGUAGUAAGUAAAUGUUGUAAUAACUUAGAUUGCAUUUGGAUGAAAAAGAAUGGAAACUGUGAUGUAAAAACUAUGAAAGUGAAUGAAUGUAAUAACUUAGGAUGUGUUUAUGUUGUAUGAUACCUUCCACUUGAAAUCUUGAUUGAUAUCCGUUCCUGGUUGGAACCUUCGUGAAUUGUAUUGAUUGCGAUGCUUUGAAUGUACAGGGGAGACUCUGUCCGUAGUACAAGGGAAACCUUGUCCAUUCGGCGAUGUCGGCGGCGCCGGGACCUUGGCCAAAUAGGCGGGUGGUCGCGGGCUGUGACAGUUGUGGUAUCAGAGCAUAAAGUAGAGAAUGGGAAUGGCUUAGACUGACCUAGGAGACCCUAGGAUAGUAAAACCAUAGAAGAAUAAGGCUCGUGAGAGACGAGGACUCAUGAUUCGUGGCGAAAGGUUAAUGGAUUGGGUUGUGUUGUAAACCUCUAAGACGGAUAUUAGAGGUAGACUCGAGGUGUUGUUUAUUCUCAGCCAAGGAUGUUCAUGUUGGGCGUACGACAACAUGAAACCGAGUGAUGUGAAUAAACACCCUUGCGUGACUUUCGCCUGAUUGGCUUUUGAGCCGGUGUUAGUGGUCUCGUGUUCGACCCAAGUUGGUCGAGAACUAAUCGAGUUGUCGUGUUUCAGGAAGCGAUGGCACCGCGUAGGCGAUCUUCUUCCAGAUCGGCGCGGGAGGGGACAAGUGGUGUUCCCGAGCAAGUCGACGCGAGCGAAGGCGCAGAGCUUCGUGAUCAGUUGGCCACACUCAUUGGAGUGAUGAGGCAACAAGCUGAUGUGGUGCAGAGGCAGCAGGAGGCUGCUAUGCGCCAGGAAGAGCGAAUGGAAAGACUCCAAGAAACGGUGGACCAGCUGGUGGGUGCACCAGCUGCGGCUCGUCGAGAACGGCCGGGAGUCGCGGCGGAGAUGUUCCCGUCGGGGUCGGGCGAUCCGACUCCUGUUAGUUCAGAGGUGGCGGCAGAAAGGGAGCGAGCUUUGGCUGCCCUCAUGGCUUUCAAGAAAUUUGAUCCGCCUACCUUCGAUGGUGAGGAUCCAGAUCCGUGGAUCGUGGAGAUGUGGAUUGAUGCCAUGGAAACGCUCUUCGAGGAUCUGUACACGUUGGAGCGAGACAAGGUAAACCUAGUCGCGCAUUAUCUCAAACAGUCGACGAAGGUGUAGUGGAAAGGCGUCAAGCAUGAUCGACCGCCUAGUCUCCCUCCUAUGACGUGGGAAGAAUUUCGGGGAUUGGUGUUCUCUGCUUAUUUCCCCGAUAGCGAGAAGCGGAAGCUCAAGGAAAGGUUCCUUAAGCUGCGGCAAGGAAGUCGCACGGUCAGGCAAUAGGAGCGGGAGUUUUUCCGUAUCGUGCAUUGUAUCCCAAACGUGGUGCGAGAUGACAAGGACAGGGCCGACUGCUUCGUGCGUGGACUUCAGCCAGAUCUUUACCAGGCGGUGCUGGUACUCAAGUUGCAGAUUUUUGCUGAAGUCCUGGAUCGGGCCUUGUGGAUAGAACAGGGCAACGCCUUUAUGCGGGAAGAGCGAGAGGCAUAUUACAAGGAAAAGGGGAAAGGACGACCGACAGGUGGAUCCAGUAGUCAGUCAAGUUCCCAACGGACUUUGACGAGUUCGCACUCGCGAUCCCGAGCUCCGGGGACAUACCGCAUUCAGUCCUCGGCGAAAUGUGCUAUUUGUGGAGGCCCUCAUUUCCCACGACAGUGUGAGCAACGUGAAGGCAAGUACUUCAAGUGUGGGCUGCCGGGUCAUAUGUGGGACGAGUGUCCGCGUGGUGACGGCCGGGCCUUGACACUGGCGACGGCCCAUCCCUCUCUGGGACAACCUGCAGGUGUGCCACCUGCGGCAUGGUCGGGAGAGCGGCCGUUGAGGACGAUGCAACCAGAGGGUUCGCGACGAGCGCCAGGUGGGCAUCGGUAAGCGACCCGAGUUGCAGAGCCUGCCGUUGCUGACGUCAUCGUGGCAGGUAUGAGUUAAUUGAGCAAGCAUGUGCUUUUACUAAUCUCAAGUUGGUGCAUAGCAUGCAUUUGUUGUUGGUCGGUUGCUACUAAUUAUAUAUUGCAUAGUAGGGACCGAAUAGUCGGGUAAGUAGACGCCCGUACAUGCUUGCAUUGUGAGAAGUGGCACCUGCUGGUGCAAGUAGAAAGCCAAGUGGUGCUAGCUAAUGGCUAGUGAUGAUUCUCCGGUACGGAAUGAGGCUCGUGGAGAACAUGGUCUAGUAAGUGACUCUCGAAAUAAUGGGUUGAAAAUUGUGAGAGUUGAGCCUUGAUGUUGAGGAUACUCGAAAGACACGGGAGUUGAGAAUGUAUUCCGGUAGAUCGAACAGUGAAGGUAGAAUCACUGUUGAGAGAGUAACCGUAUAGUUGCCGAAUACGGGCACGUAGGCCUAGUAGUACCUCAAGUUGAGGUCGGCGAGUCCUGCUCGUGUAGUCGGUGUGCAUAGGCAAGGUUGCCUGAUGCUAGAUUUCGUGGAACGCUUUAGAGGCGUAGAGCGCUCGAGUGUAGUUACUCGUGAAGUGCGGUUUUGAUUCAGCCGGUUGAGUGAAUUGGCAGUAGCACUUUAGCAGGGCUAAGUGUGAAGCGGGCCAUGGAUCACUCGUAGGGCUGGUGGCUCGCACUAGGUACCUGGGGGCCGAUAGAGUGUGUAGCUCUGUAGAGCAUGUCGUUUAGGACGACGACGACGAGUGGUGCUUGAGGAUGACCCGUGCCUGGACCGUUUGUGAACUGUGUAGCCUGGGCCCAUUGGGCAGGCGCAGUCAGCUGUGAGAGACAGCGGCCCGAUACCUACUGGUAGGGCAUAGUGUUGGUCAGGACGGUAGUCCGAGCUUGGACAUAAGUACGUGGAAUGCCACGCGAUAGAUCGUGAGAUUGAUGGCACACCAAGUGUGUAGUGACCCAACCCGAGGACUUGACGUGGUCUAGGAUCUUGGUUGCACCUGGUUGGAGUGUGUGUGAAUUCUCCAAUGAGAAUUUCGCCCAAUGAUGAUUGGAUCUACGAUGCGGGCAAGAGACGCUAUGCGUAGUUGUGACAGGUAUAGGCGGUAGGCCUACGUAAUGAUUAUGAUCGUUGGUCCGCCUGUGAAAACCGAUGAUCAGUGCGGCAAGCAACUCUGUUAGUGAGUUGGGCUUGGAUUCACGAACGGAGGGUUCGUGUGAUGUUGAACGUGGCUUGUGGUAGUAAAGGAUAAAGAGAAAAGUAAAGUGUUCUCUAGGAGACACUUGAAUAAGAAAUAGCCACGUGAGGGUUGGUGUAAGGAAGUGAAUUCUCGAAAUGCGAGAGUUGGACUUCGCUCAAAAUCGACAAAUUGUCGAGUGGUUGUGCUUCGGAAAUGCCGAAGAGGUCAAAUACACCAAAGGUGCAUUGCAACGGAUCUGCGAGAGCAAGUGUGCAAAAAUCUGCACUUGGCAGAUUUGCUCUCGGGGACCGAUCCCUGUCAAGGAAGGACCGGUCCCCCGUAGCUGGUUGGUGCGAGGUUGCGUGAUGCAACCGGUCCCUUGGCCAGAGGGACCGGUCCCCCGUAUGCGAAACCGGCGAGAAGAGGAAAUUGGCUAAGUCCUGCGAGAGCAAGCUCUCGGGGACCGGUCUCUAGUGGACAGACCGGUCUCCGGGGGACCGGUCCUCCAGGGACAGACCGGUUCCCGUAAGUGUGUUCAGGCUGAAGGCUCUCGGGGACCGGUCCCUGGCAGGGAGAGACCGGUCCCUCUACACAUAAAAUUUUCCAGGCAGGCUGGGUCAUGUUGGAGGAGUUGGAAUUGUUUGAGUUUCGAGGACGAAACUCUUAUAAGGAGGGGAGAAUGUAACAUACCGAAUUUUAAAUAUAAAAGAGAAAAAUAAAUAAAAAUAGUAUGAGAUACUAUUUUAUUGGAUUUAGAGAAGUGAAAUAUCGGUUGGGAACGACCUGUGCUGAAAUCGGAGCGAAAACAGAAGAUUUAGAAUUUUCUGUUGGAAACGGGACUGAUAAAUUAGCAGAAAAUGCACAGUCUCAGAAAAUUAUAAAAAAUUAGAGGAUAAGUCAGAAAUAUUUUUAUGAGGCUAGAUUUGAAGUUUCAUAUUUUUCUGACGCCCGUAGAGAGAGAAAUAGCAUCCGAAAGCUAUCUGAUAAAGAUUGCAGUUCGGUACAGUUUUCAGUGACCAAACGGGGUCGAAACUGAAAUAUUAAAAUUUCUUUGGACUUAUUAAGUAAAACCGAGCAUGCCUGUCAAAUUUGAGCUCAAACGGACAUUCAGAAGGGCUCCGGCGAAAAAUAAACUGCCCGAAGUGAAUAGUGCGUAGUUGAGGGGCAAAAUGGUAAAAAGGGUUUAAAACCCCUUUUCUUCUUCUCCUCCCAACCGUGGCUGCCCCAACCGCACACACCACACACGCAUACACAAGAACACACACACGCAUGGAAAGGAAAGGAGAGAAAUCCCUUUCUCUCUCUAAAUCUCUCCCAAAAUGGAUGGAUUUGGUGGAGAUUGAAGCUUGGAGGUGGAUCGCCUUCGUCUUCUUCAUCUUCUCCAUGGUUUGGAGCUCAUUUUGAGGUGAGCUUCUUGAGCCCUUUAAUGGUAGAUCUUUAAUGCUUGGUUUAAAUAC
This 7559-nucleotide long non-coding RNA is filed under the name Ananas comosus (pineapple). RNAcentral describes it as "long non-coding RNA (ACOM_LNC029161)". Lineage: Eukaryota; Viridiplantae; Streptophyta; Magnoliopsida; Poales; Bromeliaceae. The record is from RNAcentral.